AUGGAAGGUCGGUAUCUAGAAGGCAAUCUGCUCGGUUUGAACAUGAUGAACCGAAACUCGCAGAGGACAUGUUCCAUACAAACGAGAUUGAUGAUAAAAUGCAAGUCUGUCUCGUGAAGUAACUAAGAAGGUUCAGUUAAGGAAAUUGGCGUCAACGUAAAAAUGCGCAGACCUGAGUGAGCGUUUUUUGAACUACUUGGUUUGAAAAUCAUACCCCUACUGAUACAGAAACAGAACUAACAUUAAAAGAUGGUAGCCAGGAGUUACUAGAUCGGGCAAUCAGUAUAACGAGCAUUUUAUGGGUUCCAGUUCGUGCUACUAAUGAUGUAUUAGAAAGAGGAACAUCUGUAGGUUCCAGUUCGUGCUACUAUGAUUACUGAAGAGGAAGCUAAAGCUAUGAAUCCCAAUUCUAUAUUAAACAUUAGAUACACAAGGUUUCCACGUGUUCAAGGCAUGAAUGAUGAAAAAUCCCCUGAAACGAUCCUAGCACACG
Molecule: long non-coding RNA, 493 nt
Filed under: Helianthus annuus (common sunflower)
Lineage: Eukaryota; Viridiplantae; Streptophyta; Magnoliopsida; Asterales; Asteraceae
Source: RNAcentral